This 253-nucleotide ribosomal RNA is filed under the name uncultured bacterium. RNAcentral describes it as "partial 16S ribosomal RNA". It matches the Rfam family "Bacterial small subunit ribosomal RNA", at positions 524 to 776 of the family's 1533-position model. The record is from RNAcentral.
UACGGAGGGUGCAAGCGUUAUCCGGAUUUACUGGGUUUAAAGGGUGCGUAGGUGGGUAGGUAAGUCAGUGGUGAAAUCUUCGAGCUUAGCUCGGAAACUGCCAUUGAUACUAUUUAUCUUGAAUACUUUGGAGGUAAGCGGAAUAUGUCAUGUAGCGGUGAAAUGCUUAGAUAUGACAUAGAACACCAAUUGCGAAGGCAGCUUACUACACAGUUAUUGACACUGAGGCACGAAAGCGUGGGGAUCAAACAGG